Molecule: unclassified non-coding RNA, 253 nt
Filed under: uncultured Alphaproteobacteria bacterium
Lineage: Bacteria; Pseudomonadati; Pseudomonadota; Alphaproteobacteria
Description: contains 16S-23S intergenic spacer region
Rfam family: Bacterial small subunit ribosomal RNA
Source: RNAcentral
UACGGAGGGGGCAAGCGUUGUUCGGAUUUACUGGGCGUAAAGGGCGCGUAGGCGGACGAUCAAGUCAGGGGUGAAAGGCCUGGGCUCAACCUGGGAACUGCCCUUGAAACUGGUUGACUGGAGUCCGGGAGAGGAUGGCGGAAUUCCCAGUGUAGAGGUGAAAUUCGUAGAUAUUGGGAAGAACACCGGUGGCGAAGGCGGCCAUCUGGCCCGGAACUGACGCUGAGGCGCGAAAGCGUGGGGAGCAAACAGG